GACGAACGCUGGCGGCGUGCUUAACACAUGCAAGUCGAACGGAAAGGCCCUGCUUUUGUUGGGUGCUCGAGUGGCGAACGGGUGAGUAACACGUGAGUAACAUGCCCUUGACUUUGGGAUAACUUCAGGAAACUGGGGCUAAUACCGGAUAGGAGCUCCUGCUGCAUGGGGGGGGUUGGAAAGUUUCGGCGGUUGGGGAUGGACUCGCGGCUUAUCAGCCUGUUGGUGGGGUAGUGGCUUACCAAGGCUUUGACGGGUAGCCGGCCUGAGAGGGUGACCGGCCACAUUGGGACUGCGAUACGGCCCAGACUCCUACGGGAGGCAGCAGUGGGGAAUAUUGCACAAUGGGCGGAAGCCUGAUGCAGCAACGCCGCGUGCGGGAUGACGGCCUUCGGGUUGUAAACCGCUUUCGCCUGUGACGAAGCGUGAGUGACGGUAAUGGGUAAAGAAGCACCGGCUAACUACGUG
This 468-nucleotide ribosomal RNA is filed under the name uncultured bacterium. Its description in RNAcentral is "partial 16S ribosomal RNA". It matches the Rfam family "Bacterial small subunit ribosomal RNA", at positions 28 to 507 of the family's 1533-position model. The record is from RNAcentral.